RNAcentral lists this small RNA (278 nucleotides) under marine eukaryotic metagenome. Its description in RNAcentral is "5' ureB small RNA". It matches the Rfam family "5' ureB small RNA". The record is from RNAcentral.
AUCUGCUGUGGGCAGAUGAAAUGGAUAUGGCUGUCAAAACCGCCCGCUGUCAGGAUAUGGCCCUCACCGGCAAUGGCCUCAGUUGACGGGCCAAUGAUGAUAUUGACGCCUUCCUGGGUGUCGGGGUUACCGGCCUUGCCAAUGGCGUGAAUGAUCCCGUCCUUCAGCCCGACAUCCGCCUUGUAGAUACCGCUGGCAUCGACAAUCAGCGCGUUGGUGAUGACGGUAUCGACCGCGCCAUCAGCACGCGAUACCUGGGACUGGCCCAUGCCAUCCCU